AGACUUUAACUAAUAAACUGUACUAAUUGGCCCGACCAAAAAUUCUAGAAAAAAAUAUGUAGAUGGACAUAGGAGUCUAGUUUCAGGGAAAAAUCACGAAACUGAUUUUUGAGUUGUGAAACUCAAGAUAUGAUUUUUAAGGUGACAGCGACACUGUUAGCCAGCUGUCUGGAAAAAUUUAAAAUGGACUGCGAUAGUAAGCGAAUUUAGUCUGUGAACCCCUCGUGUCCGACUCCGGCAACGGUCUCGGGUAUGGGGUGUUACACAAUUCAAC
This 274-nucleotide long non-coding RNA is filed under the name Gossypium barbadense (sea-island cotton). RNAcentral's name for it is "long non-coding RNA (GBAR_LNC000431)". The record is from RNAcentral. Lineage: Eukaryota; Viridiplantae; Streptophyta; Magnoliopsida; Malvales; Malvaceae.